RNAcentral lists this ribosomal RNA (449 nucleotides) under uncultured bacterium. Its description in RNAcentral is "partial 16S ribosomal RNA". It matches the Rfam family "Bacterial small subunit ribosomal RNA", at positions 29 to 526 of the family's 1533-position model. The record is from RNAcentral.
AGCGAACGCUGGCGGCAGGCCUAACACAUGCAAGUCGAACGGACCUUUCGGGGUUAGUGGCGGACGGGUGAGUAACACGUGGGAACGUGCCUUUAGGUUCGGAAUAGCUCCUGGAAACGGGUGGUAAUGCCGAAUGUGCCCUUAGGGGGAAAGAUUUAUCGCCUUUAGAGCGGCCCGCGUCUGAUUAGCUAGUUGGUGAGGUAAUGGCUCACCAAGGCUACGAUCAGUAGCUGGUCUGAGAGGAUGACCAGCCACAUUGGGACUGAGACACGGCCCAAACUCCUACGGGAGGCAGCAGUGGGGAAUCUUGCGCAAUGGGCGAAAGCCUGACGCAGCCAUGCCGCGUGGAUGAUGAAGGUCUUAGGAUUGUAAAAUCCUUUCACCGGUGAAGAUAAUGACUGUAGCCGGAGAAGAAGCCCCGGCUAACUUCGUGCCAGCCGCCGCAAGAC